CUUAAUUUCUACCUACGAUUGAGGCUCUUGAGCCCUUUCUUGCUUGUGUUCCUUCUGUAUUUUUGCUCGACACCCAGACAUAAAUGCUUAAAGGCCCCAACAACGCAAGCAUGGCGCUGUGUCGACGAAAUCAUUCGGUCUUUUAAUAACAUGUUCCACUCAGAUGUUGGAAAUCAAAUGAUCUACUUUCUCUUUGACCGGGGUUUACAGAGCCUUAUUGGCUCCUUUGCGAAUAAGUUGCUACAUAUAAUGAAGAUAAUGAAGUAGAGCUUGAUAUGACAGAUUGCCGCUCAAUCUGUUGCACUCACUCCCGCUUAUAAAUUAUUUACCAAAAAAAGAAGAAUGAUGAUCAGAUCGCCGAUUCUAGAGGAUAUCAAUUAAAAAGGGAAC
RNAcentral lists this small RNA (390 nucleotides) under Histoplasma ohiense. RNAcentral's name for it is "hypothetical lncRNA". The record is from RNAcentral. Lineage: Eukaryota; Fungi; Ascomycota; Eurotiomycetes; Onygenales; Ajellomycetaceae.